This 72-nucleotide transfer RNA is filed under the name Schizophyllum commune H4-8. Its description in RNAcentral is "tRNA-Pro (AGG) (tRNA-Pro-AGG-2-1)". It matches the Rfam family "tRNA". From Rfam's summary of the family: Transfer RNA (tRNA) molecules are approximately 80 nucleotides in length. Their secondary structure includes four short double-helical elements and three loops (D, anti-codon, and T loops). The record is from RNAcentral. Lineage: Eukaryota; Fungi; Basidiomycota; Agaricomycetes; Agaricales; Schizophyllaceae.
GGCCUGAUGGUCUAGUAGUAUGAUUCCUUGUUAGGGUCGAGGAGGUCCCGGGUCCAAUUCCCGGUCAGGCCC